RNAcentral lists this ribosomal RNA (742 nucleotides) under Salmonella enterica. RNAcentral describes it as "partial 23S ribosomal RNA". It matches the Rfam family "Bacterial large subunit ribosomal RNA", at positions 573 to 1315 of the family's 2925-position model. RNAcentral also lists the same sequence under 1 other name. The record is from RNAcentral. Lineage: Bacteria; Pseudomonadati; Pseudomonadota; Gammaproteobacteria; Enterobacterales; Enterobacteriaceae.
GUGAGUGCUUUGGGGUGGGGUGACUGCGUACCUUUUGUAUAAUGGGUCAGCGACUUAUAUUCUGUAGCAAGGUUAACCGUAUAGGGGAGCCGAAGGGAAACCGAGUCUUAACUGGGCGUUAAGUUGCAGGGUAUAGACCCGAAACCCGGUGAUCUAGCCAUGGGCAGGUUGAAGGUUGGGUAACACUAACUGGAGGACCGAACCGACUAAUGUUGAAAAAUUAGCGGAUGACUUGUGGCUGGGGGUGAAAGGCCAAUCAAACCGGGAGAUAGCUGGUUCUCCCCGAAAGCUAUUUAGGUAGCGCCUCGUGAACUCAUCUUCGGGGGUAGAGCACUGUUUCGGCUAGGGGGUCAUCCCGACUUACCAACCCGAUGCAAACUGCGAAUACCGAAGAAUGUUAUCACGGGAGACACACGGCGGGUGCUAACGUCCGUCGUGAAGAGGGAAACAACCCAGACCGCCAGCUAAGGUCCCAAAGUCACAGUUAAGUGGGAAACGAUGUGGGAAGGCUCAGACAGCCAGGAUGUUGGCUUAGAAGCAGCCAUCAUUUAAAGAAAGCGUAAUAGCUCACUGGUCGAGUCGGCCUGCGCGGAAGAUGUAACGGGGCUAAACUGUGCACCGAAGCUGCGGCAGCGACGCUUAUGCGUUGUUGGGUAGGGGAGCGUUCUGUAAGCCUGCGAAGGUGUCCUGUGAGGGAUGCUGGAGGUAUCAGAAGUGCGAAUGCUGACAUAAGUAACGAUAA